RNAcentral lists this ribosomal RNA (534 nucleotides) under Citrobacter werkmanii. RNAcentral describes it as "partial 16S ribosomal RNA". It matches the Rfam family "Bacterial small subunit ribosomal RNA", at positions 1009 to 1533 of the family's 1533-position model. The record is from RNAcentral. Lineage: Bacteria; Pseudomonadati; Pseudomonadota; Gammaproteobacteria; Enterobacterales; Enterobacteriaceae. RNAcentral also lists the same sequence under 1 other name.
CUUUGGUGCCUUCGGGAACUCUGAGACAGGUGCUGCAUGGCUGUCGUCAGCUCGUGUUGUGAAAUGUUGGGUUAAGUCCCGCAACGAGCGCAACCCUUAUCCUUUGUUGCCAGCGGUCCGGCCGGGAACUCAAAGGAGACUGCCAGUGAUAAACUGGAGGAAGGUGGGGAUGACGUCAAGUCAUCAUGGCCCUUACGAGUAGGGCUACACACGUGCUACAAUGGCAUAUACAAAGAGAAGCGACCUCGCGAGAGCAAGCGGACCUCAUAAAGUAUGUCGUAGUCCGGAUUGGAGUCUGCAACUCGACUCCAUGAAGUCGGAAUCGCUAGUAAUCGUGGAUCAGAAUGCCACGGUGAAUACGUUCCCGGGCCUUGUACACACCGCCCGUCACACCAUGGGAGUGGGUUGCAAAAGAAGUAGGUAGCUUAACCUUCGGGAGGGCGCUUACCACUUUGUGAUUCAUGACUGGGGUGAAGUCGUAACAAGGUAACCGUAGGGGAACCUGCGGUUGGAUCACCUCCUUACCUUAAAGAA